Molecule: ribosomal RNA, 483 nt
Filed under: uncultured bacterium
Lineage: Bacteria
Description: partial 16S ribosomal RNA
Rfam family: Bacterial small subunit ribosomal RNA
Source: RNAcentral
AUUGAACGCUGGCGGCAUGCUUUACACAUGCAAGUCGAACGGCAGCGCGGGCUUCGGCCUGGCGGCGAGUGGCGAACGGGUGAGUAAUACAUCGGAACGUGCCCAGUAGUGGGGGAUAGCUCGGCGAAAGCCGGAUUAAUACCGCAUACUACCUGAGGGUGAAAGCGGGGGAUCUUCGGACCUCGCGCUAUUGGAGCGGCCGAUGGCAGAUUAGCUAGUUGGUGGGGUAAAGGCCUACCAAGGCGACGAUCUGUAGCUGGUCUGAGAGGACGACCAGCCACACUGGGACUGAGACACGGCCCAGACUCCUACGGGAGGCAGCAGUGGGGAAUUUUGGACAAUGGGCGAAAGCCUGAUCCAGCAAUGCCGCGUGUGUGAUGAAGGCCUUCGGGUUGUAAAGCACUUUUGGCGGGAACGAAAAGGACUGUGCCAAUACCACGGUUCGAUGACGGUACCCGCAGAAUAAGCACCGGCUAACUACGU